RNAcentral lists this ribosomal RNA (279 nucleotides) under Phocaeicola plebeius DSM 17135. RNAcentral describes it as "partial 16S ribosomal RNA". It matches the Rfam family "Bacterial small subunit ribosomal RNA", at positions 498 to 776 of the family's 1533-position model. The record is from RNAcentral. Lineage: Bacteria; Pseudomonadati; Bacteroidota; Bacteroidia; Bacteroidales; Bacteroidaceae.
UAUGGUAGUGCCAGCAGCCGCGGUAAUACGGAGGAUGCGAGCGUUAUCCGGAUUUAUUGGGUUUAAAGGGAGCGCAGACGGGUCGUUAAGUCAGCUGUGAAAGUUUGGGGCUCAACCUUAAAAUUGCAGUUGAUACUGGCGUCCUUGAGUGCGGUUGAGGUGUGCGGAAUUCGUGGUGUAGCGGUGAAAUGCUUAGAUAUCACGAAGAACUCCGAUUGCGAAGGCAGCACACUAAUCCGUAACUGACGUUCAUGCUCGAAAGUGUGGGUAUCAAACAGG